GAAAUGCGAUAAGUAAUGUGAAUUGCAGAAUUCCGUGAAUCAUCGAAUCUUUGAACGCACAUUGCGCCCUCUGGUAUUCCGGGGGGCAUGCCUGUCCGAGCGUCAUUGCGAACCCCUCAAGCACGGCUUGUGUGAUGGGCCCUCCCGCGUCUUGGUCGUCAAGACGGGCCCGAAAUGCAGUGGCGGCUUCGCGGUUAUCCGAUCAGCCAGAGCGUAUGGGGACUUUCUCUCUGUCACACGCCCGCGGCGCGGACCGACGCCUGUCGACCUUCAUUCAUCGUUUUCUCGGUUGAUCUCGGAUCAGGUAGGGAUACCCGCUGAACUUAAGC
RNAcentral lists this unclassified non-coding RNA (329 nucleotides) under plant metagenome. RNAcentral describes it as "partial contains 5.8S ribosomal RNA, internal transcribed spacer 2, and large subunit ribosomal RNA". The stretch from base 1 to 105 matches the Rfam family "5.8S ribosomal RNA", at positions 50 to 154 of the family's 154-position model. The record is from RNAcentral.